UACGUAGGGGGCAAGCGUUAUCCGGAUUUACUGGGUUUAAAGGGUGCGUAGGUGGGUUGGGAAGUCAGUGGUGAAAUACUUUCGCUUAACGAAGGAACUGCCAUUGAUACUAUCAAUCUUGAAUGUAGUGGAGGUAGGCGGAAUGCGUCAUGUAGCGGUGAAAUGCUUAGAUAUGACGCAGAACACCAAUUGCGAAGGCAGCUUGCUACACUACUAUUGACACUGAGGCACGAAAGCGUGGGGAUCAAACAGG
This 253-nucleotide ribosomal RNA is filed under the name uncultured bacterium. Its description in RNAcentral is "partial 16S ribosomal RNA". It matches the Rfam family "Bacterial small subunit ribosomal RNA", at positions 524 to 776 of the family's 1533-position model. The record is from RNAcentral.